GUACACGCUGUGACUAGCAUAUCAAUAAGCGGAGGAAAAGAAACUAACAAGGAUUCCCCUAGUAACGGCGAGUGAAGCGGGAAGAGCUCAAAUUUGAAAUCUUAAAGGGUUUCCCUUUACGAAUUGUAGUUUAAAGAAGUGUUUUUCUGUUGAGGUUUUGGUAAAAGUUCUUUGGAAUAGGACAUCAUAGAGGGUGAGAAUCCCGUAUUUGACCUUUACUUUCAACUUUGUGAUACACUUUCAAAGAGUCGGAUUGUUUGGGAAUGCAGUCCAAAAUGGGUGGUAAAUUUCAUCUAAAGCUAAAUAUUGGCGAGAGACCGAUAGCGAACAAGUACCGUGAGGGAAAGAUGAAAAGAACUUUGAAAAGAGAGUUAAACAGUACGUGAAAUUGUCAAAAGGGAAGCGUUUGACACCAGUGUUGUUUUCUGAAAAUCAAUUAAAGAACUGUUUAUGCUAAGCUGUUUAGACUUUAUCAGCUAAUCUGUUUAGUUUUGAGCUUUUCUUUAAUGCACUUUUCAGUUAACAAGUCAACAUCAAUUUCUUUUGCUGUAAAAAAGCUUGAGGAAGGUGGCUUGAGAUUCGUCUUAAGUGUUUAUAGCCUCUUGCCUAUGCAGUCGGAGAGAUUGAGGUCUGCAGCGUAGAUCCUUCGGGGCUAAAUGCAUUUGUGCUAAGUUAUAGCAUUUUAUAGACAACUUGUUGACUAUGAUUUGUCUUGUAGCUUACUCGCUUAUGUUAUUUUACCUACGCUUAGGAUGUUGAAGAUGUAGCACAUCAU
This 775-nucleotide ribosomal RNA is filed under the name uncultured Neocallimastigales. RNAcentral describes it as "partial large subunit ribosomal RNA". It matches the Rfam family "Eukaryotic large subunit ribosomal RNA", at positions 22 to 643 of the family's 3401-position model. Lineage: Eukaryota; Fungi; Neocallimastigomycota; Neocallimastigomycetes; Neocallimastigales. The record is from RNAcentral.